RNAcentral lists this non-coding RNA (19 nucleotides) under Arabidopsis thaliana (thale cress). Lineage: Eukaryota; Viridiplantae; Streptophyta; Magnoliopsida; Brassicales; Brassicaceae. The record is from RNAcentral.
GUGCUUAGAUUGUGAUUGU